RNAcentral lists this ribosomal RNA (751 nucleotides) under uncultured Actinomyces sp. RNAcentral describes it as "bacterial SSU rRNA". It matches the Rfam family "Bacterial small subunit ribosomal RNA", at positions 28 to 776 of the family's 1533-position model. Lineage: Bacteria; Bacillati; Actinomycetota; Actinomycetes; Actinomycetales; Actinomycetaceae. The record is from RNAcentral.
GACGAACGCUGGCGGCGUGCUUAACACAUGCAAGUCGAACGCUGAAGCCCAGCUUGCUGGGUGGAUGAGUGGCGAACGGGUGAGUAACACGUGAGUAACCUGCCCUCUUCUUUGGGAUAACGCCCGGAAACGGGUGCUAAUACUGGAUAUUCACUGAUUCUCGCAUGGGGGUUGGUGGAAAGGUUUUUUCUGGUGGGGGAUGGGCUCGCGGCCUAUCAGCUUGUUGGUGGGGUGAUGGCCUACCAAGGCUUUGACGGGUAGCCGGCCUGAGAGGGUGACCGGUCACAUUGGGACUGAGAUACGGCCCAGACUCCUACGGGAGGCAGCAGUGGGGAAUAUUGCACAAUGGGCGAAAGCCUGAUGCAGCGACGCCGCGUGAGGGAUGGAGGCCUUCGGGUUGUAAACCUCUUUCGCUCAUGGUCAAGCCGCAACUGUGGGUUGUGGUGAGGGUAGUGGGUAAAGAAGCGCCGGCUAACUACGUGCCAGCAGCCGCGGUAAUACGUAGGGCGCGAGCGUUGUCCGGAAUUAUUGGGCGUAAAGGGCUUGUAGGCGGUUGGUCGCGUCUGCCGUGAAAUCCUCUGGCUUAACUGGGGGCGUGCGGUGGGUACGGGCUGACUUGAGUGCGGUAGGGGAGACUGGAACUCCUGGUGUAGCGGUGGAAUGCGCAGAUAUCAGGAAGAACACCGGUGGCGAAGGCGGGUCUCUGGGCCGUUACUGACGCUGAGGAGCGAAAGCGUGGGGAGCGAACAGG